Long non-coding RNA from Numida meleagris (helmeted guineafowl), 2953 nucleotides. RefSeq lists it as uncharacterized. The transcript is spliced from 4 exons. The record is from RefSeq and is a predicted model, not a curated record. NCBI's taxonomy places the organism in Eukaryota, Metazoa, Chordata, Aves, Galliformes, Numididae.
CAAGGCAAACCUAAUGAGCUACAGGGGCAUUGCCUGGGCCACAGACCACACAUGCCCUAGAUGUUGCAGUCUACCACUGAGCUCAUAGCAUCAUUUUUCAGAUACUAGAAUGAAAUGCCAAGUUCUGGAUAGCCUAUAUUAUAUAUGUGACAAUAAUUGGAAAGGAGGUGGGGGAAUAUAACCCAAAGAUGAAGAGAACUGAAAAUGAUUUCACAGAUUCUGAACUAGAGAUGGUGUCUAGUUAGAUAGACAGAAGGCAGAGAGAGAAAAAUGACCUUGUGCUGCAUGAUAGAAAGAUGCAUAUGUAUGAACGAUACCACCAAUUAUCAGCUACCAGGGAAAGAACAGUUUUGCAAAUGUAGCUCAACCUCCAGUAUCACAAGUGCUGACUCAAUCCUAGUAAAAUGAGAAAACAGACAAAAUAAGUCAGUCACCUUUCUGACCCUGACCAUUUCCCACCUGAUAAAAAUGUAGCAGCAUAUACAGCAAGAGCUCCAGGACAUAUAAAUCAGUACAGCCCUGCUGUCACCAUGGAUGAUGAAAGUUAAUGCAUUUUUGCAUCAAUUGCUCUCAAAAAAAAUGUACCUGCAUACACUGCUUGAUUUCCUCUGGUGGCAUGUACACGGGUGCACAUACAUGGGCAUAUGCAUACUGAGUGGUGUAGCACAGAUUCACUGUACUACAACACUGCACUGCUGAGCACUUCAGCUGAGUGUGUCUUAGUUCUACACCGCAGUGGUCCUUUUCUGGGUCUCCAGGGGAAAGAUUGUACGGAUGACAGAGUUGGAGAAAACUCUUUUUCAGUUUACGCUAGGAUGUUUUCUUCUAGGGAGCUAUAAUCUGCAAGACUAUAACUUUCACUUUCCAAAUAGAGCUCAAAUUCCUGCCCUUGGCACAGCAUCACAGAGGACUUGCUUUCACUCACAUGGAUUAACUCUCUCAACAGUUUACCAAGAUAAUUGGCACAGCCGCUCCUUUUCUUCAAAGCUUGCUUUUGCUCACCUAUUCUUCUUUUUUCCUCCAAUGAGUACAUAAUGAACGACAGCGACUACUUAAUGUAUAACAGUGACUUUAAUUAUCACCACAUCAAUUGCCAAGAGUGUUUUCCGAGAUAAUAACUGCCAAUUAUAUAAAGUAAGCAAAAGCAUGGCACAGUGCUGUAUAAAAGAUACCUGUAAGCAAACUGCCCCACGUACCAGACACAGUUCUGCAUGCUGCUGCAUGCUCUGCCUCCCUCCUGAGAAGGGAGAUGCAGCAGCCCAGGAGGACUGUGUGCACACAUGGCCACCACGCACCCAGACUACAGGAUUUUAGUGAGAUUUUGACCGAUAUGUAGAAUGAGAAAGAAACAUUGGAGCCGAAGAAAAUACUGGAAACACUUAAUCACUUUCAAAGAAAGUAUUUAGACCAUCUCUCCUGGGAAGGACUGCACCAAGUGCAGAGAUACAGGGAUGCAAGUUAUCUCCCCACAGCUACAAGGAGACCACAACAGAGGGAGAAGCGGGGUUUGUGACAGCAGCUCCAAGCAGAACACAGCAGCAAGCUAAGCUACACCUCGCUCUGCAGCACGGGCAAAGUAAGGAGGGAUGGAAGCCUGUGAGGAGCCAUGCUACAAUCCAGCGCUGUCAGAGCUGAGUCCUGCAGCAGCAGCCCUCCAUGCAGUGCCCCUGCUCACCCAUCUCCAGGCUCACUGGAGCUGCCUCUGGUUCUUCACUCUGCUCCUACUGCCAUUUCACUGGGAGUGCCUGCAGCUCCCUCCCUCAAACUGCUGCAGCCCUGAGGUACAAAUGGCAGUGAGGUCUUCUAGCAAGACCUUGGAGACAGCACUGAGCUGGGAAAGCUAAGUUAUCAAGGACCACAUUGGCACAAGCUUUCUUUCUUGCUGGAGCAAAACUUAAAUCUCUUUCCCUGCCAUGGUUGUGGUAAUACCGCACAACUAUUCAUUAUCCUUAUCUUAACUAGAGAAGCCCCUUUCAAUUUAGCACUUAAUGUAAUUACGGCAAAUUAAAUCGUGUUCAGAAAAAUCUUAUUUUACCAGAGCUAUUAUCUUACCUCUACAAAACCGUCAGUUAAAAGCUAUUAAACACUGGGGGUUUGUAUCUAUUCAGUGAGCAGAAAAGUGAGUUACUAAAGUGAAAUUUGUUUAAAUUCUGUUUCCAAAUUCAACACCACAUCUCCAAGGGAAAAUGGUAGACUCUCAGUGGCAGCAUAGUGACCCUGGCAGCACUGUGACAUUUGAACACCAAUUCUCUGUUCACUUUCAUUCACCUCAGAGAAGUUUCAUAUGUAUAUUAUUUUUUUAAGAUGAGGAUUUGCAUUUCACUAAAUAAGGCAAACAGUUCCCUUUGUGUGCUUUCAGCAAAAUUAACUCUGGCUAGAGCUGUACUGCUGACUUGAUGAGACAUAUACAGAACAAAAGCAAUUGGCUGCCAUGAAGUCAAGUGGAAAACACACAUUCACUUCAAGGGGUUCAGGAUGUCAAAUGCAGCACAGGAGACGAAACCAGAGAAGCCAGGAAGAAAACAGGUAAAAAGCCACGUGCAUUUACAUGUCACCUAAUAAACAUACGAUAAGUGGUAAAAACUUGAAGAACUGGGUAUUCCAAACUCUGACUCAAGAAAAAAGCUCCUGUUUAGAGUAGUCCCAUUACAGUCAAUGUUAUUUCAUUUGUGAGGACAAAUUGCAGAUAUGGAUUUCAUGCCUAUGCACAUCUGUAUCAAGGCAGACUGAAAAUCGCAAGCAGAGCUUUUCUGGAAUCACGGUCUGUUUAAAGUGAUUAAUUUCACACUAUUACCCAGGGGAAGGCUGGUGGGGGUGGAAAUAGGCAAUGCAUAUACAAGAGGUACCCAAGAAAGGUAGAUGCAUCUCAGUAUGGUCAGUUUGUGUUCUCAUGAAUAAUAAAUGCUGGAUUGUAAUAUUUGAAUUGAUAUUAGAAUGAAUGUAAUGAGUCACA